Molecule: ribosomal RNA, 439 nt
Filed under: uncultured bacterium
Lineage: Bacteria
Description: partial 16S ribosomal RNA
Rfam family: Bacterial small subunit ribosomal RNA
Source: RNAcentral
CCUACGGGAGGCAGCAGUGGGGAAUAUUGCACAAUGGGGGAAACCCUGAUGCAGCGACGCCGCGUGAGUGAAGAAGUAUUUCGGUAUGUAAAGCUCUAUCAGCAGGGAAGAAAAUGACGGUACCUGAUUAAGAAGCCCCGGCUAACUACGUGCCAGCAGCCGCGGUAAUACGUAGGGGGCAAGCGUUAUCCGGAUUUACUGGGUGUAAAGGGAGCGUAGACGGUGAUGCAAGUCAGAAGUGAAGCCCGGGGCUUAACCCCGGAACUGCGUUGGAAACUGUGCGGCUGGAGUGCAGGAGGGGUAAGCGGAAUUCCUAGUGUAGCGGUGAAAUGCGUAGAUAUUAGGAGGAACACCGGUGGCGAAGGCGGCUUACUGGACUGUAACUGACGUUGAGGCUCGAAAGCGUGGGGAGCAAACAGGAUUAGAUACCCGAGUAGUC